This 497-nucleotide ribosomal RNA is filed under the name uncultured bacterium. RNAcentral's name for it is "partial 16S ribosomal RNA". It matches the Rfam family "Bacterial small subunit ribosomal RNA", at positions 28 to 507 of the family's 1533-position model. The record is from RNAcentral.
GAUGAACGCUGGCGGCGUGCCUAAUACAUGCAAGUCGAGCGAACAGACGAGGAGCUUGCUCCUCUGACGUUAGCGGCGGACGGGUGAGUAACACGUGGAUAACCUACCUAUAAGACUGGGAUAACUUCGGGAAACCGGAGCUAAUACCGGAUAAUAUAUUGAACCGCAUGGUUCAAUAGUGAAAGACGGUUUUGCUGUCACUUAUAGAUGGAUCCGCGCCGCAUUAGCUAGUUGGUAAGGUAACGGCUUACCAAGGCAACGAUGCGUAGCCGACCUGAGAGGGUGAGCGGCCACACUGGAACUGAGACACGGUCCAGACUCCUACGGGAGGCAGCAGUAGGGAAUCUUCCGCAAUGGGCGAAAGCCUGACGGAGCAACGCCGCGUGAGUGAUGAAGGUCUUCGGACCGUAAAACUCUGUUAUUAGGGAAGAACAAAUGUGUAAGUAACUAUGCACGUCUUGACGGUACCUAAUCAGAAAGCCACGGCUAACUACGUG